This is a small nuclear RNA of Anolis sagrei ordinatus, 111 nucleotides long. The record is from RefSeq and is a predicted model, not a curated record. Lineage: Eukaryota; Metazoa; Chordata; Lepidosauria; Squamata; Anolidae.
GUAUUCUGUGAAAGGAGAUAAGCUCAGCAUUCCUAUCGAUAAGGAUAGAAUCAGACCUAUUGACAUGUACCAUGCAGAUAUGGUUAAAGUAUUGUCAGUCUUUGUGUUUGU